This 372-nucleotide ribosomal RNA is filed under the name uncultured organism. RNAcentral's name for it is "bacterial SSU rRNA". It matches the Rfam family "Bacterial small subunit ribosomal RNA", at positions 526 to 896 of the family's 1533-position model. The record is from RNAcentral.
CGUAGGUGGCAAGCGUUGUCCGGAAUUAUUGGGCGUAAAGCGCGCGCAGGUGGUUCCUUAAGUCUGAUGUGAAAGCCCACGGCUCAACCGUGGAGGGUCAUUGGAAACUGGGGAACUUGAGUGCAGAAGAGGAAAGUGGAAUUCCAAGUGUAGCGGUGAAAUGCGUAGAGAUUUGGAGGAACACCAGUGGCGAAGGCGACUUUCUGGUCUGUAACUGACACUGAGGCGCGAAAGCGUGGGGAGCAAACAGGAUUAGAUACCCUGGUAGUCCACGCCGUAAACGAUGAGUGCUAAGUGUUAGGGGGUUUCCGCCCCUUAGUGCUGCAGCUAACGCAUUAAGCACUCCGCCUGGGGAGUACGGCCGCAAGGCUG